CCUACGGGGGGCAGCAGUGAGGAAUAUUGGUCAAUGGGCGCGAGCCUGAACCAGCCAAGUAGCGUGAGGGAGUACUGCCCUAUGGGUUGUAAACCUCUUUUGUCGGGGAGCAAAAGCCGGACGUGUCCGGCUGUGAUAGUACCCGAAGAAAUAACAUCGGCUAACUUCGUGCCAGCAGCCGCGGUAAUUGGGAGGAUGCGAGCGUUAUCCGGAUUUAUUGGGUUUAAAGGGUGCGCAGGCGGAUUUUUAAGUCACCGUGAAAAGCGUGGGCCUCAACCCCAUCCAGCCGUUGAAACUGGGGAUCUAGAGUGUGCGAGAGGUAUGCGGAAUGCGUGGUGUAGCGGUGAAAUGCAUAGAUAUCACGCAGAACCCCGAUUGCGAAGGCAGCAUACGGCUGCACAACUGACGCUCAGGCACGAAGGCGUGGGUAUCGAACAGGAUUAGAUACCCGUGUAGUC
RNAcentral lists this ribosomal RNA (458 nucleotides) under uncultured bacterium. RNAcentral describes it as "partial 16S ribosomal RNA". It matches the Rfam family "Bacterial small subunit ribosomal RNA", at positions 338 to 795 of the family's 1533-position model. The record is from RNAcentral.